RNAcentral lists this long non-coding RNA (573 nucleotides) under Equus caballus (horse). RNAcentral's name for it is "lncRNA (ENSECAG00000044876.1)". Lineage: Eukaryota; Metazoa; Chordata; Mammalia; Perissodactyla; Equidae. The record is from RNAcentral.
GUUGAGAGUGGUUUUCAGUUAUUUUUUCAUUUGAAGUGGAAUUCAAAACAGCAGGGGCAUAAAGCCCAGAUACAGACAGAAGAGAAAAGAAAAGGGUCCCCGGAGAUUGCCAUUCACCUUCCACGAGUACUUUUUACAUCUGUUGUAUCAUUUACCACCACCCUCCUGGACUCUAGUCCAUCCAUUGCCUGUCUACUCCUUCGUUGGUCCCCAUUCCCCUUUGAAGACCCACACCUCGUUUCCUCUCUUCUCUGGCCAUGCGAGUUGACGGGACUCCCAAACCUGAUUUUAGAGGUAAGCACUUGACCCACACCUAAGCCAUCAGCAUAUCCCACCCCAUCCCUCAGCCCUGGUGAUUGGUUCAGGGAUGAAUAUGGAACCCAACCAGACCACUGAGUCACCAUCCUGGGAGAAUGUAAGGAACUGCCCCAGCCAUCUGACUGAUUCUUAUGGACAGAGAGUGUGAGCUGCUGGGCACCAUCGCAUGGAGACUGAGGAUGAAGCUCACUCCUCCUGUAGCCCGCUGAGCAACGGAGACAAACCAAAGCUGACGAUACCAUCCGAGCACCGUAC